GACGAACGCUGGCGGCGUGCUUAACACAUGCAGGUCGAACGAGAAGAGAUGAGAAGCUUGCUUCUUAUCGAUUCGAGUGGCAAACGGGUGAGUAACGCGUAAGCAACCUGCCCUUCAGAUGGGGACAACAGCUGGAAACGGCUGCUAAUACCGAAUACGUUCUUUUUGUCGCAUGGCAGAGGGAAGAAAGGGAGGCUCUUCGGAGCUUUCGCUGAAGGAGGGGCUUGCGUCUGAUUAGCUAGUUGGAGGGGUAACGGCCCACCAAGGCGACGAUCAGUAGCCGGUCUGAGAGGAUGAACGGCCACAUUGGGACUGAGACACGGCCCAGACUCCUACGGGAGGCAGCAGUGGGGAAUCUUCGCAAUGGACGAAGUCUGACGGAGCAACGCCGCGUGAACGAUGACGGCCUUCGGGUUGUAAAGUUC
Molecule: ribosomal RNA, 425 nt
Filed under: uncultured bacterium
Lineage: Bacteria
Description: bacterial SSU rRNA
Rfam family: Bacterial small subunit ribosomal RNA
Source: RNAcentral